This 425-nucleotide unclassified non-coding RNA is filed under the name soil metagenome. RNAcentral's name for it is "partial contains 5.8S ribosomal RNA, internal transcribed spacer 2, and large subunit ribosomal RNA". The stretch from base 1 to 120 matches the Rfam family "5.8S ribosomal RNA", at positions 35 to 154 of the family's 154-position model. The record is from RNAcentral.
GAUGAAGAACGCAGCGAAAUGCGAUAAGUAGUGUGAAUUGCAGAAUUCCGUGAAUCAUCGAAUCUUUGAACGCACAUUGCGCCUUCUGGUAUUCCGGAAGGCAUGCCUGUUCGAGAGUCAUUAACAACCGUUUCGAUCCCUUUCUUUCAGAAAUUACAAAGAGGAAUAGGGUUUGGUUAUGGUGGAGGAGGGAAAGGGAGCGUUUAGCCUGUAAAAAAAGAGGCUGUGUUCCGCCUCCCCCCCAAAAUUGUACAGGCGGUCGUGUGCGCCCACGCAUCGAGGUGUUGUAAAAGCUGCCACGGCACUUUUCACCUGUGCAGUGCGAGAUUGGCCAGCCGGUUUAAAAACCCCUCCAAACAAUCAAAGGUUGACCUCGGAUCUGGUAGGGAUACCCGCUGAACUUAAGCAUAUCAAUAAGCGGAGGA